AGGACGAACGCUGGCGGCGUGCUUAACACAUGCAAGUCGAGCGGUAAGGCCUUUCGGGGUACACGAGCGGCGAACGGGUGAGUAACACGUGGGUGAUCUGCCCUGCACUCUGGGAUAAGCCUGGGGAAACUGGGUCUAAUACCGGAUAUGACCUGCUCUCGCAUGGGGGUGGGUGGAAAGAUUUAUCGGUGCAGGAUGGGCCCGCGGCCUAUCAGCUUGGUUGGUGGGGUAAUGGACCUACCAAGGCGACGACGGGGUAGCCGACC
This 266-nucleotide ribosomal RNA is filed under the name uncultured soil bacterium. RNAcentral's name for it is "partial 16S ribosomal RNA". It matches the Rfam family "Bacterial small subunit ribosomal RNA", at positions 26 to 292 of the family's 1533-position model. The record is from RNAcentral.